CUCUGUCCUCGACGCGUUUUUGAGCUCCCGGUUGAGGCGGUCGGUGAAGCCUUGGAGCAGAGUGUUCCCCCCGGUGACAAUGACGCUGCCAUAGAGACCCUAUGGGGCAGGGACUCACUGUUCAUCAUAGGGGGAGUCUGACACCUGCAGUACUGAGGCUUGGAAGUCCUGGAUCACCUCCUAUGGGGCAGGAUAUGGGCUCCCGGCACUGCAUAGAGAUGAAGUCUCCAGCCAAUGGGGACUUGACGAUGCCUAAGGCAGCCAAUGGAAGAACGCUGGGAUGUUGUAGUGCUCAAACAUCAGCUCCGUCAGCUUCUCACGCUUGGCGCGGGUGUUCCACUGCGGGAGCGGGUGUGAUCCAGGAUGGCCUGGAAACAAUCCCAGUCCUCGACUGGGAGCCGUGGGCUCCAGCCCCACGUCCUCGGGGGGCAGCAGGCCCACGCUGGUGGGGAAGUCAGCCUGGGGGCGGCCAUGAUGGCACGGGGUCACGUGAUGAGGACACGGGGUCACGUGGUGAGG
Long non-coding RNA from Melopsittacus undulatus (budgerigar), 519 nucleotides. RefSeq lists it as uncharacterized. The record is from RefSeq and is a predicted model, not a curated record. The transcript is spliced from 8 exons. NCBI's taxonomy places the organism in Eukaryota, Metazoa, Chordata, Aves, Psittaciformes, Psittaculidae.